This 251-nucleotide ribosomal RNA is filed under the name uncultured bacterium. RNAcentral's name for it is "partial 16S ribosomal RNA". It matches the Rfam family "Bacterial small subunit ribosomal RNA", at positions 524 to 776 of the family's 1533-position model. The record is from RNAcentral.
GACGGGGGGGGCAAGUGUUCUUCGGAAUGACUGGGCGUAAAGGGCACGUAGGCGGUGAAUCGGAUUGAAAGUGAAAGUCGCCAAAAAGUGGCGGAAUGCUCUCGAAACCAAUUCACUUGAGUGAGACAGAGGAGAGUGGAAUUUCGUGUGUAGGGGUGAAAUCCGUAAAUAUACGAAGGAACGCCAAAAGCGAAGGCAGCUCUCUGGGUCCCUACCGACGCUGGGGUGCGAAAGCAUGGGGAGCGAACAGG